AUGUCGGAUUAGCUAGUUGGCGGGGUAAAGGCCCACCAAGGCGACGAUCCGUAGCUGGUCUGAGAGGAUGAUCAGCCACACUGGAACUGAGACACGGUCCAGACUCCUACGGGAGGCAGCAGUGGGGAAUAUUGGACAAUGGGCGCAAGCCUGAUCCAGCCAUACCGCGUGGGUGAAGAAGGCCUUCGGGUUGUAAAGCCCUUUUGUUGGGAAAGAAAUCCAGCCGGCUAAUACCCGGUUGGGAUGACGGUACCCAAAGAAUAAGCACCGGCUAACUUCGUGCCAGCAGCCGCGGUAAUACGAAGGGUGCAAGCGUUACUCGGAAUUACUGGGCGUAAAGCGUGCGUAGGUGGUCGUUUAAGUCCGUUGUGAAAGCCCUGGGCUCAACCUGGGAACUGCAGUGGAUACUGGGCGACUAGAGUGUGGUAGAGGGUAGCGGAAUUCCUGGUGUAGCAGUGAAAUGCGUAGAGAUCAGGAGGAACAUCCAUGGCGAAGGCAGCUACCUGGACCAAC
RNAcentral lists this ribosomal RNA (513 nucleotides) under Pseudomonas sp. Its description in RNAcentral is "bacterial SSU rRNA". It matches the Rfam family "Bacterial small subunit ribosomal RNA", at positions 233 to 738 of the family's 1533-position model. Lineage: Bacteria; Pseudomonadati; Pseudomonadota; Gammaproteobacteria; Pseudomonadales; Pseudomonadaceae. The record is from RNAcentral.